GACCGAUAUGUAGGAUAAAGCAAAAAUCGUAAUUCUCAUAAUUAUUAAUACCGUAUCUGUCUAUCUGUUCUUGUCUUGUAUUGUGAUUAGACUUUGGUGAUUUUUUUAUGACUAGAUUUAAAUAUAGUGACAUUGCAGUAUUAUAUUUUAAGUACAAGUACUGCUUAAGUGCACACUAGGGACCAUAUUCACCUUGUUUUACGAUCUUUUAUGGUAUUAAUGUUUCUUCAUAAGUAUUGUUGAAGACCAUCCCAUUCCGGCAACUAUCAAGAUGAAGAGCAGGAACACAAACUUUGACCAUUGAUCAUUUGUAUUUUUUCUAUGCAUUGACUUUGUGUGCGAUUAUGUUCCCAUACUCCUUUAUUAUCUGUUAAAGGGUCUCAACACGACUUAAUGCAAGUUUAACCUUUCAAUGUAAAAGGUCAUAUAUGGCAAUGCCUUGGUUUUUUUCUUCAAAUUAUUUAAUACCGGGAAAUAUGUGACCUUUCUUUAAUUCAAACCAUGUCAGCUAUCUAGUUUUAUUUACAAGAAAACAAACUGUUUUGUAUUCUUUGAUAUCAAUUUCUAAUUAUCCAUGCAGAAAGGACAAUUUUUUUUUGUGUCCACUGAGUAGCAUCGCAUGUUCUUAAAAUAUAUUUCUCGCACAAUUCUUGACAUCGGUGGACAUGCAACAUUGCAAAACCACGUUUACAAAUGAAAAUCAACACUCAGACUAUAGUCAUAAAGUAGGACAAUAAAUGAACAAAAGACAAACCCGGAAAACAGAAGUACAAACAAUAGACCAUCAACUCUGAAAACUAAAAGCAAAAUAGAAACAUGGAUAACGACAAACAUACAGGGGAUACAUCAGAGAGUGAAGAGAAUUUGCUUCUUGCAAGACACUCUCCGUGAAAACAAUUUGAUAUGAAAACAACCUUUUGUUUCAUUUUUUUUUUUUUUUUUUUUUUUUUACAUGAGGCAUUUGCCUCAUUUGCCUCGAUGUAUUUACGGCCCUGUCCAAACUUUGUUUGGGAGACUUAAUAAUCACAAAAUGCGCGCAAAUGAAAUGCGUCCGCAUAACUUCCACUUACGGAAAGCGAUUUAUGUUGUACAAACGGGUAUCAUUAUUUGCGAAAGAGUCGUUAGCAAAAUACGACGACUGGGGAAAAAAAAUCCCGUUUACUUCGUGAAUAUUGUGAAAUUUGCGCUAAAACAGCUUUUACUUUUUUUUAGUGUGCCCUUUUAUACUAGUAUGCGGCACAUUUGGUUAUUUUUUUUUAAAGAAUUAUCCAC
Molecule: long non-coding RNA, 1272 nt
Filed under: Mytilus galloprovincialis (Mediterranean mussel)
Lineage: Eukaryota; Metazoa; Mollusca; Bivalvia; Mytilida; Mytilidae
Source: RNAcentral